Misgurnus anguillicaudatus (oriental weatherfish) is the source of this 857-nucleotide non-coding RNA. Lineage: Eukaryota; Metazoa; Chordata; Actinopteri; Cypriniformes; Cobitidae. The record is from RefSeq and is a predicted model, not a curated record.
UUACAUAUAGGUAAAGUCUGAUAUAUAAAAACAUUUGGCUUAUGUUGUUGUUGACAUCAAAAGUUGUGUCUAAUCAAACAUUAAUACAUUUCAUUUUUCAAUUUAUUUUACUUUUCAACAAUAACAAAUUCUAGUGCUGUGUUGGGGCAAUGAUGUAAAAUCUAAAUCCUGAAGCAUAACCAGCACAGGAGCACGGCUUAAAUCUCAGCAGAUGCUUGCGUAACCUCAAGUGGGGUUCUUUCUCCCCGCAUGUACUGUUUAAAGUUGUAUUAAACAAUACAGACAACCUCCUGCAGACAAUGCAUGUUUCUUCCUGUCUGAUGAUAAUUUACCCCAAAAUACUUUCAGUUUUCUUGCAUACACAUUUAUAAUGCCUGGCAUUUCACAACAAAUUCCCAAUGCAAGACCAUUUCCAUCCACCGCACUGUUUACGCUUUAUGCAUUAUGGAUGCUUGGACUUAGUUGUGCAUGAAACCCUCAGGGAUCUCUUUUUACCCACAGUGCUUUUCACCUAUGCUCUUUGUAUAUGUGAAGACAUGAAAGGGUGGUUUCUUUUCCGAAGUCUAUGGCAAGCAAGAGGCGCAUUUCCAACUCUGCAUGUGCGGAUCAAAAGCAGUCAGAAUGGAAGCUCCAGCAUGCCAUCCGCUUCCAACUGGGUCAAGGACAGAUUACGAGGUUCCUUGAGGAAAAGCUCUCCACCCGCACAGCACAGAAUGAGACGUUUUUAUCUACAUACACCACUGGUCUCCUUACAUGGAAGUCGUCAUCAUGUUUCUACAGUAGCUCUAAAUGGACAAAUUGUUCUACAGAGCGCGUUUCGUCCCUCUGUGGUGGAUACCGUAGCUUCUCAUUGCAUU